CCUACGGGUGGCAGCAGUGAGGAAUAUUGGUCAAUGGACGCAAGUCUGAACCAGCCAUGUCGCGUGCAGGAUGACGGCCCUAUGAGUUGUAAACUGCUUUUGUACGAGGGUAAACGCAGAUACGCGUACCUGUUUGAAAGUAUCGUACGAAUAAGGAUCGGCUAACUCCGUGCCAGCAGCCGCGGUAAUACGGAGGAUUCAAGCGUUAUCCGGAUUUAUUGGGUUUAAAGGGUGCGCAGGCGGAGAGUUAAGUCAGCGGUAAAAUUUCGCGGCUCAACCCCGACGAGCCGUUGAAACUGGCUGGCUAGAGUGGGCGAGAAGUAUGCGGAAUGCGUGGUGUAGCGGUGAAAUGCAUAGAUAUCACGCAGAACUCCGAUUGCGAAGGCAGCAUACCGGCGCCCAACUGACGCUCAGGCACGAAAGCGUGGGUAUCGAACAGGAUUAGAUACCCCUGUAGUC
This 459-nucleotide ribosomal RNA is filed under the name uncultured bacterium. RNAcentral describes it as "partial 16S ribosomal RNA". It matches the Rfam family "Bacterial small subunit ribosomal RNA", at positions 338 to 795 of the family's 1533-position model. The record is from RNAcentral.